RNAcentral lists this ribosomal RNA (477 nucleotides) under uncultured bacterium. Its description in RNAcentral is "partial 16S ribosomal RNA". It matches the Rfam family "Bacterial small subunit ribosomal RNA", at positions 28 to 523 of the family's 1533-position model. The record is from RNAcentral.
GACGAACGCUGGCGGCGUGCUUAACACAUGCAAGUCGAACGGUAAGGCCCUUCGGGGUACACGAGUGGCGAACGGGUGAGUAACACGUGGGUGAUCUGCCUGCACUUCGGGAUAAGCCUGGGAAACUUGGUCUAAUACCGGAUAGGACUCCCGGCUUCAUGGUUGGGGGUGGAAAGCUUUUGCGGUGUGGGGUGGGCCCGCGGGCUAUCAGCUUGUUGGUGGGGUAAUGGCCUACCAAGGCGACGACGGGUAGCCGGCGUGAGAGGGUGACCGGUCACACUCGGCCUGAGGUACGGCCAAGACUCCUACGGGAGGGAGCAGUGGGGAAUAUGGCACAAUGGGCGCAGGACUGAUGCAGCGACGCCGCGUGGGGGAUGACGGCCUUCGGGUUGUAAACCUCUCUCAGCACAGACGAAGCUCAAGUGACGGUAUGUGCAGAAGAAGGACCGGCCAACUACGUGCCAGCCGCCGCGGUAA